This 433-nucleotide ribosomal RNA is filed under the name uncultured bacterium. RNAcentral's name for it is "partial 16S ribosomal RNA". It matches the Rfam family "Bacterial small subunit ribosomal RNA", at positions 29 to 507 of the family's 1533-position model. The record is from RNAcentral.
AACGAACGCUGGCGGCAUGCCUAACACAUGCAAGUCGAACGAGACCUUCGGGUCUAGUGGCGCACGGGUGCGUAACGCGUGGGAACCUGCCCUUAGGUUCGGAAUAGCUCCCCGAAAGGGGUGCUAAUACCGGAUAAUGUCUUCGGACCAAAGAUUUAUCGCCUUUGGAUGGGCCCGCGUUGGAUUAGCUAGUGGGUAGGGUAAAAGCCUACCAAGGCGACGAUCCAUAGCUGGUCUGAGAGGAUGAUCAGCCACACUGGGACUGAGACACGGCCCAGACUCCUACGGGAGGCAGCAGUGGGGAAUAUUGGACAAUGGGCGAAAGCCUGAUCCAGCAAUGCCGCGUGAGUGAUGAAGGCCUUAGGGUUGUAAAGCUCUUUUACCCGGGAUGAUAAUGACAGUACCGGGAGAAUAAGCUCCGGCUAACUCCGUG